This 337-nucleotide unclassified non-coding RNA is filed under the name soil metagenome. Its description in RNAcentral is "partial contains 5.8S ribosomal RNA, internal transcribed spacer 2, and large subunit ribosomal RNA". The stretch from base 1 to 120 matches the Rfam family "5.8S ribosomal RNA", at positions 35 to 154 of the family's 154-position model. The record is from RNAcentral.
GAUGAAGAACGAAGCGAGAUGCGAUAAGUAAUGUGAAUUGCAGAAUUCCGUGAAUCAUCGAAUCUUUGAACGCACAUUGCGCCCCCUGGCAUUCCGGGGGGCAUGCCUGUCCGAGGGUCAUUUCUGCCCUCAAGCACGGCUUGUGUGUUGGGUGUGGUCCCCCCGGGGACAUGCCCGAAAGGCAGCGGCGACGUCCGUCUGGUCCUCGAGCGUAUGGGGCUCUGUCACUCGCUCGGGAAGGACCUGCGGGGGUUGGUCACCACUAUAUUUUACCACGGUUAACCUCGGAUCAGGUAGGAGUUACCCGCUGAACUUAAGCAUAUCAAUAAGCGGAGGA